AUGUGUAGCGGNGAAAUGCGUAGAUAUAUGGAGGAACACCAGUGGCGAAAGCGGCUCUCUGNUCUGUCACUGACGCUGAGGCUCGAAAGCGUGGGUAGCGAACAGGAUUAGAUACCNUGGUAGUCCACGCCGUAAACGAUGAGUGCUAGGUGUUAGGCCCUUUCCGGGGCUUAGUGCCGGAGCUAACGCAAUAAGCACUCCGCCUGGGGAGUACGACCGCAAGGUUGAAACUCAAAGGAAUUGACGGGGGCCCGCACAAGCGGUGGAGCAUGUGGUUUAAUUCGAAGCAACGCGAAGAACCUUACCAGGUCUUGACAUCCCGAUGCUAUUCUUAGAGAUAGGAAGUUACUUCGGUACAUCGGAGACAGGUGGUGCAUGGUUGUCGUCAGCUCGUGUCGUGAGAUGUUGGNNNNNNNNNNNCAACGAGCGCAACCCUUAUUGUUAGUUGCCAUCAUUAAGUUGGGCACUCUAGCGAGACUGCCGGUAAUAAACCGGAGGAAGGUGGGGAUGACGUCAAAUCAUCAUGCCCCUUAUGACCUGGGCUACACACGUGCUACAAUGGUCGGUACAACGAGUUGCGAGCCGGUGACGGCAAGCUAAUCUCUGAAAGCCGAUCUCAGUUCGGAUUGGAGGCUGCAACUCGCCUCCAUGAAGUCGGAAUCGCUAGUAAUCGCGGAUCAGCACGCCGCGGUGAAUACGUUCCCGGGCCU
RNAcentral lists this ribosomal RNA (710 nucleotides) under uncultured bacterium. Its description in RNAcentral is "bacterial SSU rRNA". It matches the Rfam family "Bacterial small subunit ribosomal RNA", at positions 671 to 1381 of the family's 1533-position model. The record is from RNAcentral.